GCGCCCGUAGCUCAACGGAUAGAGCAUCAGACUUCGAAUCUGAGGGUUGGGAGUUCGAAUCUCUCCGGGCGCAC
This 74-nucleotide transfer RNA is filed under the name bacterium ADurb.Bin236. RNAcentral describes it as "tRNA-Arg". It matches the Rfam family "tRNA". From Rfam's summary of the family: Transfer RNA (tRNA) molecules are approximately 80 nucleotides in length. Their secondary structure includes four short double-helical elements and three loops (D, anti-codon, and T loops). The record is from RNAcentral.